UACGUAGGGUGCAAGCGUUAAUCGGAAUUACUGGGCGUAAAGCGUGCGCAGGCGGUUGUGUAAGUCUGCCGUGAAAUCCCCGGGCUCAACCUGGGAAUUGCGAUGGAGACUGCACGGCUAGAGUGUGUCAGAGGGGGGUAGAAUUCCACGUGUAGCAGUGAAAUGCGUAGAUAUGUGGAGGAACACCGAUGGCGAAGGCAGCCCCCUGGGAUAACACUGACGCUCAUGCACGAAAGCGUGGGGAGCAAACAGG
RNAcentral lists this ribosomal RNA (253 nucleotides) under uncultured bacterium. RNAcentral describes it as "partial 16S ribosomal RNA". It matches the Rfam family "Bacterial small subunit ribosomal RNA", at positions 524 to 776 of the family's 1533-position model. The record is from RNAcentral.